RNAcentral lists this long non-coding RNA (200 nucleotides) under Ananas comosus (pineapple). Its description in RNAcentral is "long non-coding RNA (ACOM_LNC025030)". Lineage: Eukaryota; Viridiplantae; Streptophyta; Magnoliopsida; Poales; Bromeliaceae. The record is from RNAcentral.
UGAUGGGGAACCUCGAUUAGAGGAAUUGGGAAGGAAAUAGAGGGAGAUUUGGGAGAGAAUUGAGGUGAGAUAGAGAGGAAGAAGAUGGGAGGGACAGGAGAAGGGGGAAGAAGCUUGGGGAAGAAUUCUUUGUAUUAAUAUUUUCAUAACCUCUUACUUACAUUCUCUGGCUUUUAUAGCCUCUUACUACUUGCAUUAAU